UGAUGAAUCCUUUCUAGGUAAAUUUAUACUAAUGUUUAUAGAUAUACCUAGAUAUAUAUGAUUUAAUUUUACUACGAUUUUUAUCUUUCUAAAGUAGCAUUUUGUUUCUAAAGUUAGAUUAUUUAUCAAAAGGUGUGAAAAUAGGCUUAAUUGGAGUUUCUAAAGUUAAAGCUUGAUAUAUUACCAAAAUAUAAAGUCUGAAACUAACUUAUUCACUUGAUGUUGGUCAUUUUCGAUAAAUGAUCAAGUUUUAUAAAUUAAUUCUCAAACCUUGGCGCAGGUAAUGUUGCAC
This 292-nucleotide long non-coding RNA is filed under the name Lotus japonicus. RNAcentral's name for it is "long non-coding RNA (LJAP_LNC000193)". Lineage: Eukaryota; Viridiplantae; Streptophyta; Magnoliopsida; Fabales; Fabaceae. The record is from RNAcentral.